AACGGGAUUAAUUGAAAGAUCCUCCGAGCUUAUCCCAAGCAAGAAAAGCGCCUGACUUUCUUUCUACGCCUCUUGGUCACCUGCGCGCCUCCGUUUUCUCAUAAUUCCCUUGCAGAUCUCUUCAUCGAGGCUUCUCUGCCUAGCAUCGUGUUCUCGAAUUCGGCUAGGUCGCCUAGGGAGCCACACGCUGAUGGCCGCUUCAAGACUGUGAACCGAUUGACUCUAUUAAAAUUCUGAGGCAGGCGUGGCGUUCGUCCUGAGCCAAAUUUUCAGGUUCGAUGUCUGAGAGUUAUUGAUUUCACGGGAAGGCUUGCUGGUCCCCGCGAAGGCGCUGGAUCUGUGGGGGUGGGAUUGCGGAGAUGAUGUUAUGAAGAUCAAUUGUGGCAGAUCGUUCCAUGUAACUUGUUGAUGUAGAUGGAUGUAUAGGAUAAUAUCAGGACGAAAGGGCCAGCUAAAUUCUCUGGCCCUUUCGUCCUGAUUCAUCUUUGUCAUCCGACCUUUGCCAUGACAGGUGCGCUUGCAUGGCAGGUCACAAAGAAACAUAAUAAAAAGGUUAUACGUUUUUUGGUUUGAGGGGGAGAUCGCACGGGGAUUUUGCCCGGGGUCUCCCCACCGGUGUGUGCCGUUUACCUGUGCUGCUUUUUCCGCGAUCGUUUAUAUUUUCGCUCUCGACGCCCAUGGUUGCUUACCAGAUGAAAGGGGUAGCUUUGAUACAUCAGCCAACAUUACGGCUCAUGCACUCACAGUUCACAUGGAGUUUGAGGUAUGCUCUUUAUUUCAGAUUUUCCUUUAUCAAUUUAAUUUAUUCAACUAUAGAUUUAAAAAAAAAAAAAAAGAAUUAUUCAACUAUAGAUUUUAGAAGUGCCGGCAAACUAUGUCUCGCAACAGAUUACGAAAAGGGGAAAAGAUUAUCAUAAUUAAUGUUGGAAAUCUUGUCCUUGGAGGGAGCUGCAAACGUCUCAAAUCUAAAUAAUUAAACACAGAUUUAUUCGUCUUUUUUUUUUUUUUUUUGGGGUCAUAUAUUCGUCUUUUAACAGAUUUAAUCAAUUAAACAAACACAAUAUUUGGAUACCAUUUUCAGGUAUUUCAUUCCUAAAGUUUAAUCAAACACACAAUAAUUUCUUUAAAUUUUUUUUUAUGUAAUCAUUAUCUAAAUAAUUAUAAUUUUUCAAUCUUUCAAUCAAAAUAAAAAAAUAAUACAAUUUUUUUUUUAAUUUGAAAUAAAAAUAAUAUUAAAAAAUUAUAUUCAGACUUUUUUAAUUAAAAUAAUAUAUUUUCAAUUUUUUCUCUUAUUUUUCUAAAAUUUAUUAAAAUAUUUUAAUUUUAAUCUUGUCAUUGUUAUUCGCAAAUAUUCUAAGAUGAAGGCGUCAUUUGCUUUCAACUAUUUUUGUCUUAUCUAAUCAUAUAAUAAUUUCUUUAAAUUUCUUUAUAAAAUAAAAUGAACAAUUUAAAAUUUUUAAUUCUUAAAAUAAAAUUAAUAUUAAAAAAUAUAUAUUUUAAUAAUAUUUUAUUUAAUUUUUAAUUUAAAUAUGAAUUUAUCUUUAUCUCUUACGUAAAAAUAAGCACACUAGCGCACUAGCUAGGCGAGACUCAUCUCACUUUGUCAGCCAAACGACCCUAGCCUCUUCCUGUAGAGUAUCUACAUUAGUUUAUGCAUAUAUAUAUAUAUAUAUAUAUAUAUAUGUAAAAUUACAUCUUUUAAAGAUUCAAUUUGCUAUACAAGUAAAAUUUUUACAUUAGCUUAUGCAAUUUUGAGAAAAUAAUAAUAAAAUAUUAUCAUUUUAUUAUUAUUAUUAUUAUUUUUUUAAUAAGAUUUGAUCUUCAAAUAUGUAAAAUAUUUGAGAAAAAUAUUUUUUAAAAAGUGAAUGAGUAAAGUAUGUAAUAAAAUAUAUAAAGGUAAAAUAUGUAGAAAGAGAAUGGGAGGAGAGAAAAAGAAUGAAUAAAAUAUGUUUUGAAAAGUGAAUAGUAAAUUUUUAAACAUGUAAAUGUAAUGUUUAUAACUAUACAAAUAUUUGAAGAUACAUAUAAUCUAAUGUAGAUAAAUUUAGGUUCAUGUAAAUAUGACUGCAUAUAUGACUAUGCAUAUAUAUAUAUAUAUAUAUGCAUAGAUCAAUGUAUGCUCCAGGUUGGCUUUCUAUUUGUCUCUCUGUAACAAAUGUUUUUUUCUAUUGGCCUUUCCGUGGCCAUAAUUACACCGCACUACUAAUUAUAUCUCAAUGACAUCAUAAUUUCUCCGUGGCAUCUCAAAUCUGGUUUCGUAAGGGCUCAACGCCAGCUAUUCACUCGGAAAAUCAGUUAUAAUGUUGCAAUGUUUCCCUCAUAAUUGCCAACUCGUAUUUGUAGCUUGUGCGUCUUUUUAUUUAGUUACUCCGAUAUGGAGCCUGUGAUGUACCUAAUCUUGUAGUUGUGGACCACUUUCUUAUGUUGUGAUAUAUCUUGGGAGUCGAAUAUGGUUUUAAUAUGUACUGCGUAUUUCUACUACGCUUUGAGAUCAUCAACUGUAUUCCUGUAUCAAGUCCUUUAGUGCAUCAUUCGAAGUGCUUGUGUUAAGGUUGUGUUCGCCCUGCAUAUCGACUCUAGCUGAUGAUGUGGAAAGGUGUUGUGCUGCAUGAGAUCUUUCACUGCCAAACGGACUUGAAGUUCGAUUCUUAUGGAAGUUUUGCUGCUUUGGUGUUGCAGCAGAAACCCUAGCAAGCAUGAAGUUAUGCAGGCAUCUGAGGUGAUGAUAACGGGUAAAAGAGUAAUCGGGAUACUCAUUGGUAAUACUUGCCAAUGUCUAGCCAUACUCUCUUAUAAUAGAAAAAACAAUAGCUGAUUUCACCUCAUGAAAAUUCUAGUCAAUGUUAUCAGGCUGCCAGUCAUUUGAUUCAUUGGUAAAAGACCUUAAAUUCCCUUGGGACUGUUUUCUUUUCGAGUCUCGUACCUCUCAUCUUUUGUUAAUAAAAUGAUGUGGUGCCACUAGUCAAAGUUCAAUAGGGACCAAGGAGCUUGCAACGUUGGUACGGUGGUUGGUGAAGAUCUUCGGAGUUGAGAGUUAAAUGUACUGCGUAUUUUUACCACGCUUUGGGCAUCAUUCAAAUUGCUUGUGUUGAGGUUGUGUUCGUCCUGCUUUUAGGUUCUAGCUGAUGAUGUGGAAAGGUGUUGUGUGGAAACACUUGCCAAAGGCUUCAAAUACCCUUGGGGAUGUUUUCUUUCAUACCUCUUAAAUCAACGGGCGAAGGAGCUUGCAACGUUGGUGUGUUAGUUGGUGAAGAUCUUCGAAGUUGUGAUCUGUCUGAAGCUGCUUGAAUAAGUGCUUAACAAGACGUUAUCGUUGGUUAUAGGAGGCGUGAGGACUGAGGAGUGAGGACUACGUAAUGAGCCGUGUUUCACGAGAUCAAUACCAAGAGGCAAGAAGGACUCCUAAUAUGCGUGCGGAUAACGCACACUGACGUGUCAAACAGAGGUCGUCUGAUAUUAUCCGUCGAUUUCUAAAGUCUUUGUCCAAUCUCAACCGUCCGUUUCAUUAUAUAUUGUCAUCAACAACGGGAGGAAUUGAAAGGUCCUCCGAGUUUAUCCCAGGCAAGAAAAGCGCCUGGCUUUCUUUCUACGUACGCCUCUAGGUCACCUGCGUACCUCCGUUUUCUCAUAAUUCCUUUGCAGAUCUCUUCCUCGAGGUUUCUCUGCCUUGCAUGAUGUUCUCGAAUUCGGCUAGGUCGCGUAGGGUGGCACACGCUGAUGGCCGCUUCAAGACUUUGAACCGAUUGACUCUAUUAAAAUUCUGGUUUGAACUUCGAUAGGUCGAGGAUCUUCGUUCUGAGAUAUCUACUUCAAGAUCUGUGAAAUGAUCGCUUCGAUUUACGGGAUCCGCUUCCGUUUCGAUUCUAGGGCGUGGUGAUCGUCCGGAGACAAUUUUUCAGGUCCGGUGUCUGAGAGACUGAGAGUUAAUGAUUUCACGGGAAGGCUUGCUGGUCCCCGCGAUGGCGCUGGAUCUGUGGGGGGUGGGAUUGCGGAGAUGAUGUUAUAAAGAUCAAUUGUGGCAGGUCGUUCCAUGUAACUUGUUGAUGUAAAUGGAUGUAUAGGAUAAUAUCAGGACGAAAGGGCCAGAGUUUGAAUUUGGCUAAUGAGUCCUGAUUCAUCUUUGUCAUCCGACCUUUGCCAUGACAGGUGCGCUUGCAUGGCAGGUCACAAAGAACCAUAAUAAAAAAGUUAUACGUUUUUUGGUUUGAGGGGGAGAUCGCACGGGGAUUUUGCCCGGGGUCUCCCCACCGGUGUGUGCCGUUUCCCUGUGCUGCUCUUUCUGUGAUCCUUUAUAUUUUCGCUCUCGACGCCCAUGUUUGCUUACCAGAUGAAAGGGGUAUCUGAGAUACAUCAGCAGCAUUACGGCUCAUGCACUCGCAGUUCACAUGGAGUUUGAGGUAUACUCUUUAUAUCAGAUUUUCCUUUAUCUAUUUAAUUCAUUCAACUAUAGAUCUUUUAAAAAAAGAAUUAUUCAACUAUAGAGUUUAGAAGUACCGACAAACUAUAGGUUCAUUGCAUCGCAUGUUUCGGAGCAGAUUUUAAGAACGGAAAAGAUGAUCUUAAUGUUGGAAAUCUUAUCCUUGCCAGCUGCAUGAGACGUUCGUCAAAUCUAUUGACUAGACGUAUACAAGAAAAUGCUCGGCCCAUACUAGUGUGCCCGUGAAAACUACCCUAAAUACACCAAACCCUAAAUACACCACCUCCCCAAUCCCAUCCCUUGUUUGCCGUACAACUAAUUCAAAUUCCUGUACAGACUGUCUUCACAAUGCCUUAGUCUUCCCAUGACUUGAAUUACCUCCCUUAGUGUUGUAGUUAAUUGUCCAUGAAAGAUCGCUUUAACUCCAUUCUUUUCUUGAAACUUGAUUUGGCUUCAAGUGCAUGGCUUGCCUCAAUCACAGCGAAACAUCCUGCCAUCGUCCUCCUUUCUUUCUUUUUUUAUUUUUUUAUUUUUUUCUUAUUAUUAUUAUUAUUUUUUUAAUCUCAUUUGCAAAAUAUUGUUGUAAAUUUCUCUUAUUUUUUAAAAUCCAAUAAAACGUAUUAACUUAAAUCAUUUAGUUGUUAUUUGCAAUAUUCUAAAAUAUUUGAAGUGUCCAAACGAGAUCUUAAGUUCCAUGUAUUAGCUAUCAGAUAGCUUUUCUAUUUGCCUUCCCUCUAACAAUUGUUUUUCAAAGUAAUUAUAUAUAUUCUAUAUAUUCAAUCCAAUGAACAAGCACAUAAGCAAGACGAAUUGAUUUGCCUUUCAGUGAUCGCAAUCACACUGCACUACUAAUUAUAUCUUAAUGACAUCAUAAUUUAUCCAUGGCAUCUCAACUUUGGCUUCGCAAGGCUCAAAGGCAGCAAUUCCUGUAAAUACUCGAAAAGUCAGUUAUAAUGUUGCAAUGUUUCCCUCAUAAUUGCCAAAGCGUGCAUCUUUUUAUUGUUACUCCGAUAUGGAGCCUGUGAUAUGCCUAAUCUUGUGGUUUUGGACUACUUUCUUAUGUUGUGAUAUAUCUUGGAAUCGAAUAUGGUUUACUUGAUUUAUUUGUUGUAUCACCAAUUUUCGAUCUUUUGGGAGGACUAUAUAUUAAUAUGUACUGCGUAUUUUUACUACGCUUUGAGAUCAUGAACUGUAUUCCUGUAUUAAGUCCUUUUGGGCAUUCAAAGUGCUUGUGUUGAGGUUGCGUUCGUCCUGCAUAUCGAUUCUAGCUGGUGAUGUGGAAAGGUGUUGUGCCACAUGAGGUUUUAGGCUGCCAAAGUGACUUGGAAGUUAGAUUCUUAUUGGAAGUUUUGCUGCUUUGGUGUUUUUCAGUUGCAGCAAGCAUGAGGUUAUGCGGCGUCCGAGGUGAUGAUACCUAGUAUGAUACAAAAACUAGAAUCUGAACCUUUUCAUUCCGGAGUUCAUUCUUUAUCUUCUUUGGCUCCUAAUGGCGGUUGUGACUACCUCAAUUUAUUUUUCAGAGUAAAAUGAUAAAUUUAUUUUCAGCAUUCAUUAUAAUACUCCAUAUUUUUUUUAACUUCAUUGUACUGUUUGAGGUUUGGUUAGUUGUGUUCCAUUAACUUUAUUUUUUAUGCUAUCAUUAGAUUGCCUUGGUUUGUCGGUAAAAUUGUGUAUUAAUUUAGUAUUUUAAAGUUACGAUGUUUUGAUGAAUUCGUUAACCAAGCAAGCAUGGUACAAGUCUGAAAACUUGCCAGAUGUCUAGCGAUACCUCUAAUCUUUUGUUUACUUAAAUAAUUUGGGACCGAGGAGCUUGCACAGUUGGUAUGGUAGUUGGUGAAGAUCUUCGAAGUUGUGAUCGGUCUGAAGCUGCUUGAAUAAGGGCUUAACAAGACGUCAUCGUUGGGGCAUUCCAAAUGCAAUUUCUUCAUAUGGGUAGAUGAUUAUAAAGAAAGACAAAAUGAACUUCCAAAAAAAUUGGAUGUGAUUCAGGAAAAAAGAGUAUGGAGUCUUCAAAAGGGAGUUUGAGGUUCAGAAAAAGGAGGAAUGAAGUCUUGAGAAAUGAGUAUUAGCUUCAAAAAAGGGAGGAUGGGCUAAUAAAAAUGAAAAAUGAUGACCACAGGAAGAAUUGGAUUUCAUGGAUACAAAUAUCUUCUCUAAAAGUUGAAGGGGUUCUUAGCCUUCAAAAGAGAGUUUGAAGUUCAGAAAAUGGAGUGGAGAUUAACUACGAUAGUCAUUUACAACCUAUUUGGCAACACUGAGGGGGAUUUCUCAAAAGAGCCUUCUGCCAUAAUAUAGGAUUCGUAACCAAGAGUUAUGGUGAAUAAAUGUAAAGGCAAUGUAUUCGAGAAUGCUUGGUUGUAAACAUUACUCUCUUGGUUGUAAAUAUUCUAAACUUGAGAAUGAAUAAUCAGUUUCAAUUUUGCAUUUUAUCUUCA
This is a long non-coding RNA of Carya illinoinensis, 6852 nucleotides long. RefSeq lists it as uncharacterized. NCBI's taxonomy places the organism in Eukaryota, Viridiplantae, Streptophyta, Magnoliopsida, Fagales, Juglandaceae. The record is from RefSeq and is a predicted model, not a curated record. The transcript has 7 exons.